Molecule: transfer RNA, 84 nt
Filed under: Dendronephthya gigantea
Lineage: Eukaryota; Metazoa; Cnidaria; Anthozoa; Malacalcyonacea; Nephtheidae
Description: tRNA-Leu
Rfam family: tRNA
About the family: Transfer RNA (tRNA) molecules are approximately 80 nucleotides in length.
Source: RNAcentral
GUCAGGUUGGCCAAGCGGUCGAAGGCGCCAGACUUAAGUUCUGGUCCGCGGUUGUGGGCGUGGGUUCGAAUCCCACACCUGACA